GACCUCAGAAGGUGACAUGAUAUUUGUAUGUGGAUUAAAGCAAAGCCCAAGAACUACUGGAAUCUUAAAGAACAAAUAAGCUGGGUUUCUGGAAGCUUGGGAGAGGAAACCAUAAACCAGAUCAGAUCUAACCACCAGCACAUGCUCAAUGGCAGAGUGAUUUUGUUGUCUAACGGUCAGCUUUACACUCACCGAAGGGAGGCUGUCGAACUCAUUUUUUCCAGUAACUACGGCAGGCUCAGGACCUAGGGAUUAAGGACUCUUCCAAGGCCAAAUAUGUGUUUGGGAGCUGAAAAGUUAAGGGAUGGAUCCUCCAAAAGUAAAAGAACCUGUGUGGGACAAAAACCUAAAAAUGACCCUGAAGGCAGUUCUACUGUCUCAAAAAACGAAGGUAAGCUUGGAAAUUUUUCAAAGACACUUUGAGCCUUAAAUAAUGGUUUAUGUUCAUAUGGAAUUCUGAAGAUUUUGUGUGUCUGUUGAAGAGCUUUAGGCCUUUUUACCUCUGUGUUUUGCCCCAUCUAUUUCAAAUUCCUAGGCAAAUACCACCACCAUCACUCCCAUUUCCUCACCUAGUUAUAAAUAUAGAACCCUUUUGAAGCAAGCCCUUACUGUGAAAGCAAAGUGUGGGGUGCUGGAUAUUCUCUGGUUGUGCCUCCAUCCACUACCCCCGCCCCCCCUUCCAUCCUAUGCUGUGCCCCUGGAAGGCUGAUCCCUAGAGGGGUUCUCCCUUGUCCUCUGGCUUCUGAUAGGGCUCAGCCAAUGUGAAGUGCUGGUAGGAGCCCUCCUUGCCUGGCUAUAGUUUGGCCAUGACCUUCCUCUACUUGUGGCCAUGCUCCUGUCAGGGACCUCAUUCCUACAGUGAUUUUUGAGUGGCUUCCGCGUACCAAGAACUAUGGGGAUGUAAAAAAUGUAACAUCCUUCACUUAGAUAUUAGUUGGAAAGACAAGAGAGCUAUGUAACAAUGCAAGGAGCAACAAUGAAAGACUUUCAGGUCAUUCUUCAACAUUCACUGAAGACAUCAGCAUCAGCACCACUUCAGUAAGCCCCACUGGAACCCCGAGGGACUCCAACAUCCAUGUGUAACAACAGUAGAGGAAAAUGAUGGACAGCACAGCUUCUGAACCAGACACACUUCAGAAGAGAUUAGGACACAGACACGCACAGAGGAAAGACCGCGUGAAGACAUGGGAAGAAGAUGGUGAUCUGCAAGCCAAGGAAGGAAGCUUUAGAAGAAACCACGCCUCCUGACACCUUGAUCUUGAAUUUAUAGUCCCCAGGACUGUGAGAAAGUAAAUUUCCCUUGUUUAAGCCACUCAGUUUCUAAUACUUUGUUAUGGAAGCCCAGCAACCUAAUACAGUACUCAAUGAAAUAUUUCUUGAAGAAAUGAACAAUUUUAUCGCCAAAAAGAUAUUGUUGACUAUUUGGUGAUUGACUAUCCCUGAAAUCCUGCAGCUUGUUUUAAGGAAAUGAGAGUGGAGCAGGCUGGAGAAGACAGACCUUCUAACUACAAUAUUCCAGUAUCAAAAGAUUGCCCAUCUUUGGGCCCUCAUUUUGGAUUUGUGUUAGAAGUUAACUGCACUCUCCUAUUAAAAAAACCUAAAGCAUUAGCAGUAAAGUUUCACCUUCAGUAAGUUCUUUGCAUCUUAGACUGAAGAAAUAUUUAUCAUCUGUAUGUGAAUCUGCAUCUCCCCUCCAUCGCUGCUGAUAGAUUGGGGUGUGGCCUGGGGAUGUUUGUAGGACCCCAGAGGAGGAAAACAGUAUUGUUAACCCUACAGAAUCUACACUCAUUGGAG
Molecule: long non-coding RNA, 1794 nt
Organism: Equus caballus (horse)
Lineage: Eukaryota; Metazoa; Chordata; Mammalia; Perissodactyla; Equidae
Source: Ensembl